Molecule: ribosomal RNA, 253 nt
Filed under: uncultured bacterium
Lineage: Bacteria
Description: partial 16S ribosomal RNA
Rfam family: Bacterial small subunit ribosomal RNA
Source: RNAcentral
UACGUAGGGGGCAAGCGUUGUCCGGAAUCAUUGGGCGUAAAGAGCGUGUAGGCGGCCCGAUAAGUUCGCCGUGAAAGCCCAGGGCUCAACCCUGGGAUGCCGGUGGAUACUGUCGGGCUAGAGUUCGGAAGAGGCAAGUGGAAUUCCUGGUGUAGCGGUGAAAUGCGCAGAUAUCAGGAGGAACACCGGUGGCGAAGGCGGCAUCCUGGACCAACACUGACACUGAGGAGCGAAAGCCAGGGGAGCAAACGGG